GAUGAACGCUGGCGGCGUGCCUAAUACAUGCAAGUCGAGCGAACAGACGAGGAGCUUGCUCCUCUGAUGUUAGCGGCGGACGGGUGAGUAACACGUGGAUCACCUACCUAUAAGACUGGGAUAACUUCGGGAAACCGGAUCUAAUACCGGAUAAUAUAUUGAACCGCGUGGUUCAAUAGUGAAAGACGGUUUUGCUGUCACUUAUAGAUGGAUUCUCGCCUAAUUAGCUAGUUGGUAAGGUAACGGCUUACCAAGGAAACGGUGCCUAGCCGACCCGAGAGGGGGAUCGGCCCAACGGGAACUGGGAAAAGGGCCAGACUCCUACGGGACGAAGCCGGAGGGAAUCUUCCGCAAUGGGGGAAAGUCCGAAGGAGCAACGCCGGGUGAGUGAAUAAGGCUCUCGGAUCGGAAAACCCUGUUAUUAGGGAAGAACAAAUGUGUAAGUAACUAUGCACGUCUUGACGGUACCUAAUCAGAAAGCCACGGCUAACUACGUG
Molecule: ribosomal RNA, 497 nt
Filed under: uncultured bacterium
Lineage: Bacteria
Description: partial 16S ribosomal RNA
Rfam family: Bacterial small subunit ribosomal RNA
Source: RNAcentral